This 71-nucleotide transfer RNA is filed under the name Candidatus Collierbacteria bacterium CG09_land_8_20_14_0_10_46_12. RNAcentral describes it as "tRNA-Ala". It matches the Rfam family "tRNA". Rfam says of the family: Transfer RNA (tRNA) molecules are approximately 80 nucleotides in length. The record is from RNAcentral. Lineage: Bacteria; Candidatus Collieribacteriota. RNAcentral also lists the same sequence under 1 other name.
GGGCCCGUGGUUCAGUGGUAGAACGCCUGCAUGGCAUGCAUGAGACGGGGGUCCGAUUCCCCCCAGGUCCA